RNAcentral lists this ribosomal RNA (492 nucleotides) under uncultured bacterium. RNAcentral describes it as "partial 16S ribosomal RNA". It matches the Rfam family "Bacterial small subunit ribosomal RNA", at positions 29 to 507 of the family's 1533-position model. The record is from RNAcentral.
AGUGAACGCUGGCGGUAGGCCUAACACAUGCAAGUCGAACGGCAGCACAGUAAGAGCUUGCUCUUACGGGUGGCGAGUGGCGGACGGGUGAGGAAUACAUCGGAAUCUACUUUUUCGUGGGGGAUAACGUAGGGAAACUUACGCUAACACCGCAUACGACCUACGGGUGAAAGCAGGGGAUCUUCGGACCUUGCGCGAUUGAAUGAGCCGAUGUCGGAUUAGCUAGUUGGCGGGGUAAAGGCCCACCAAGGCGACGAUCCGUAGCUGGUCUGAGAGGAUGAUCGGCCACACUGGAACUGAGACACGGUCCAGACUCCUACGGGAGGCAGCAGUGGGGAAUAUUGGACAAUGGGCGCAAGCCUGAUCCAGCCAUACCGCGUGGGUGAAGAAGGCCUUCGGGUUGUAAAGCCCUUUUGUUGGGAAAGAAAAGCAGCAGGUUAAUACCCCGCUGUUCUGACGGUACCCAAAGAAUAAGCACCGGCUAACUUCGUG